UGGCGGCCAUAGCGCGGUGGUCCCACCUGAUUCCCAUGCCGAACUCAGAAGUGAAACGCCGUAGCGCCGAUGGUAGUGUGGGGGUCUCCCCAUGUGAGAGUAGGGAACUGCCAAGCA
RNAcentral lists this ribosomal RNA (117 nucleotides) under Proteus mirabilis. Lineage: Bacteria; Pseudomonadati; Pseudomonadota; Gammaproteobacteria; Enterobacterales; Morganellaceae. The record is from RNAcentral.